RNAcentral lists this ribosomal RNA (380 nucleotides) under uncultured eukaryote. RNAcentral describes it as "partial 18S ribosomal RNA". It matches the Rfam family "Eukaryotic small subunit ribosomal RNA", at positions 592 to 976 of the family's 1831-position model. The record is from RNAcentral.
CAAUAGCGUAUAUUAAAGUUGUUGCAGUUAAAACGCUCGUAGUCGGAUUUCGGGGCGGGGGCGCCGGUCUGCCGAUGGGUAUGCACUGGCGUCCGCGUCCUUCCUUCCGGAGACUGGCCCUACUCUUAACUGAGCGGGGUCGGGAGUCGGAUCGUUUACUUUGAAAAAAUCAGAGUGUUUCAAGCAGGCAGCUCGCUCUUGCAUGGAUUAGCAUGGGAUAAUGAAAUAGGACUUUGGUGCUAUUUUGUUGGUUUCGAACACCGAAGUAAUGAUUAACAGGGACAGUCAGGGGCACUCGUAUUCCGCCGAGAGAGGUGAAAUUCUCAGACCAGCGGAAGACGAACCACUGCGAAAGCAUUUGCCAGGGAUGUUUUCACUGA